CCUACGGGAGGCAGCAGUGGGGAAUAUUGCACAAUGGGGGAAACCCUGAUGCAGCGACGCCGCGUGAGUGAAGAAGUAUCUCGGUACGUAAAGCUCUAUCAGCAGGGAAGAAAAUGACGGUACCUGACUAAGAAGCACCGGCUAACUAAGUGCCAGCAGCCGCGGUAAUACGUAGGGGGCAAGCGUUAUCCGGAUUUACUGGGUGUAAAGGGAGCGUAGACGGCAGCACAAGUCUGGAGUGAAAUCCCGGGGCUUAACCCCGGAACUGCUUUGGAAACUGUGCGGCUGGAGUGCAGGGGGGGUAAGUGGAAUUCCUAGUGUAGCGGUUAAAUGCGUAGAUAUUAGGAGGAACACCGGUGGCGAAGGCGGCUUACUGGACUGUAAUUGACGUUGAGGCUCGAAAGCGUGGGGAGCAAACAGGAUUAGAUACCCUUGUAGUC
This 440-nucleotide ribosomal RNA is filed under the name uncultured bacterium. RNAcentral's name for it is "partial 16S ribosomal RNA". It matches the Rfam family "Bacterial small subunit ribosomal RNA", at positions 338 to 795 of the family's 1533-position model. The record is from RNAcentral.